This 97-nucleotide non-coding RNA is filed under the name Rodentibacter rarus. Its description in RNAcentral is "Aggregatibacter sRNA 22". It matches the Rfam family "Aggregatibacter sRNA 22". The record is from Rfam by way of RNAcentral. Lineage: Bacteria; Pseudomonadati; Pseudomonadota; Gammaproteobacteria; Pasteurellales; Pasteurellaceae.
GUGCGGUCACAAAAAACAACGUUUUUUGAACGUUGGCUCUGCCAACGGCUCCGAAGGAGUGAGUAAACCACGUUAGUGAUUUACGAAUAAUUUUGAC